GUUCUGGGACUGGCCUUUUGCCUCCUGCCUCCCACAGCUCAGGUGGAGAGAGGAGGGCCCUGCCCUUACCGACUGGAGAGCAUCAGCUCAGCCUUCAGCUCCACCAGAGAGGCUGCAGUGUGUGAAGACAGCUCAUUCUGCGGGAGGAGGAAGAGCAGAGAAACCACCACCCUAUGGGUCGUUCUCAGAUCCCUCGUGUGCUGGCUGUCUCCCACCCAGGCUCAGUUUGCACUGCUAAUCUGUUACGUCUUUCUUGGGCAGCUGUUGUGGAGCCUGGUCCAUCCUGAGCACUCCAGUGUUCCAUUUCAAGGAUCUCUUCCUGGCUCCCCUCCCACCAGAGAAUGUGGCCUUGGGAUCAAGGCGUGGAGAGCUGCCAGCUACUGCCACCUGCCACAAAGCCUCAUCACCCUUGCGUAUCUCUCUCCCCUCUCCGUCCUCGGCAUGGGGUCACAUUGUGGGUCAUUAUUUCCUUUCACCAAGGUAUGAGCAGAGGGAGAGAGGGCUGGAAAAAGAGACUCUCCCUUUGCUAACUGAUGAGGGAGAAGUAUGGGGUCCAAGUGGGCCUGCCCCUUGCCUAAUUUUUGCCCAAUUUUUUGGCCUCUGGAGUCCCUGGUAGACUUCUUAACUUCUUGCACACAAGGUUACCAUGUGUCUAAUUGCUCAGCUCCAGUUAGAGUGGUGGAGGGAAACUGGUAUCAAUGAAUGAAUGAAUGAAUGGAUGGAUGGUUUAAUGACAGCUUGGAGAACCGACUGGGGUUUGAGCAAGAAACAGGAAGAGAAAGCCAACAUCUUUUAGCUCACCAAAUACUUUCAUGCCCCUUGGGAGGAAGAAAAAUGGAUAUGGGAAAUGCAGAGCAUGGAAGAGCUUAAAUUGAGCAUAAAGGACAUAAAACUAGAUAAGUAAGAUCAGAAAUAAAAGAUGAGUCAUCAUCGAAUCCAAACCUUUACAUUUUCAGCAGAGGGUGCCAAAACCUCAAGGGGAUAGUGACUUCCUUAAAAUUACAGAACCAGAGUGAAGACUGGGGUCUUUUGACUCUUUUUUUUUUUUUUUUUCUGUCCCUAACAAAAUGUUGCUCUUUUCUUCUCCAUACUUUUAUAUUUUCAAACUCAUUUAUUCCAGAAAAUUACCUGCCUUCUAACCUGGAGUUCCUCUUUUUUGAUCUAAAGAAGUUAUCCAAACUUACCUUGAGCUUACUGUCCUUGAAGCCAUUUUGGCCUUUGUUUUGUGGCCUCAAGGCUGCCCUCACUUAGAAAGGAUGAGUGACGGUAGCAGAAGCCAGCCAAGCAGGGCCAGUUUCUCCCAAGGCUGGCCCCAUGAAAGGUUUGGCUUGGGUUCUCACCAGGGUCCACAAGUCUUGCCUCCUAGAAGUUUGGUCCAGUGGUCUGCAGUCCUGGGAAUUUAUGCCGUCUCAAACAGAGGUUUUCAGACCUUGCCUGAUGAUCCAGGGACUGGAACUGAACACACGUUGUACCUCUUUAUAGCAACUUGGGUGUCCCAAACAGGACCCAUCACUUCCAAGUCCCAGGCUAGGAUUUUCUAACCAAGUAUGUAGUUAGAGGAAAAUUUAAUCCACAUGUAUCUGACUCACUGAUCUUUAAAUCAUCCUAGAGUUUGAUUCUGGGAAUGGUUUGAUGUGUACUCUGCUUUUUUUCAACUUUUGGAUUGGUGCACUGGCCAAGACAUAAUAAAUAGCAACCCUGAGAGAGAGAAGGAAGCUUCAAGUAGAGGCAUGACCUGCAGGCUCUUCCCUUCGUCCCAGCUGGAGACAGGCGCCCAGCAGGAGUAGAGAGUAGGCCAGAAGCCCAGAAAUGUGCCUUAGGUUAACCUCACCCUCAGCCUCCUCUUCUGCUUGUAUUUCUGGGAUGCAGAGCCCGACUAGGGAAAAAUCACUCAGCCUAAAAGAUGGUAACACCACAGAUUUAUGGCAUCUGAUCUUUGUUGCACCCUCCAGGGUACAAACUAAUCCCAGCUUGUGAUUCCUACUGUCAUCUAAGGUCAUUCCAGGCCUUUUCCACUCUUCUGGAGAUCUCGAGCACUUUUUUUCAACAAUUUCUCAUUUUGAAAAGAAAAAGGAGUCCAUCAGGAAAGAAUUUCCUCCAUUGCCUGCGACGCUCUACAAACCUCCAUGCCUCAGCCACCCUCGUUUUCCAUGAGGUCUCCCUGUCAGGGCUGGUUCCUCAGAUCUCCCCCCAGUAAUCCUCCUUCAUGAAAACCUCAGAGUCUCAGAGUCUGUUUCCGCUGAUGUGAGCUAAGAAUGUUUCAGGAAGAGGGGUAUGUCAUCGGGAUCCCAUUUCUUCCUGUGUCCUCCGGGACCUUGCUCUAAGGUCCUCUCUUUCGUCCUGAGACUUUUCUGAAUCUUUAAGCUCCACCUCUCCUUAGCCAUACAUACUCAUUCAAGUAUUUCCCGUACUAAAAAACAAAAUGAAACCUUCCUUCCACCUGAAGUCUCUAUGACCCCUCAUGUCUUCUCUUUUAGUCAAGCCUCUCGUAAGUGUCCCCUGUUUUUUCUCCCUUCAUGUCACAUUGACUCCACAACGCAUUGUAGCCUGGCAUGCACUGUCAUCACAGAAAUGCCCUCUGUGGGUCAGGCACGGUGGCUCACGCCUGUCAUCCCAGCACUUUGGGAGGCCGAGUUGGGCAGAUCACCUGAUGUCAGCAGUUCAAGACCAGCCUGGCCAACAUAGUGAAAACCCAUCUCUACAAAAAUAUAAAAAUUAGCUGGGCAUGAUGGCAGGUGCCUGUAAUCCCAGCUACUCAGGAGGCUGAGGUGGAAGAAUCACCUGAACCCGGGAGGCGGAGGUUGCAGUGAGCUGAGAUUGUGCCAUUGCACUCCAGCCUGGGUGACAGAGUG
Molecule: long non-coding RNA, 2852 nt
Organism: Homo sapiens (human)
Lineage: Eukaryota; Metazoa; Chordata; Mammalia; Primates; Hominidae
Source: Ensembl